Non-coding RNA from Violaceomyces palustris, 104 nucleotides. The record is from the annotation of a GenBank genome assembly. NCBI's taxonomy places the organism in Eukaryota, Fungi, Basidiomycota, Ustilaginomycetes, Violaceomycetales, Violaceomycetaceae.
GCGUCUUUAGCUCAGUGGUAGAGUAUACGGUUGCAAUUCGGUUGUCCCGAAGACAUUCAGAACUGAUUCCCGUCUGGUCCCUGGUUCAAUCCCGGGAAGGCGCU